AGCAGAAGAAAGACAAGAAGCAAAAGGUGAUCAACCAGAAGACACUAAUGAAGAAGAAGACCAACAACAAGAGCAAGAAGAACAACAAACAAACUAACAGCAACAAGUCAAUGAACAAGAACUGACAAACCAACAAGAAGAACUCCAAGAGAAAUCUGACAUAUUUCAUGCACAAGGUCAUGACCAACCACAAACACCAACCAAAGAGGACGACAAGGACAAGCUCAUAUCAGCCAUGAGAGCACAAAUGCAAGAUAUGGAACAAAAAUUCAUGGCUGAAUUGCGUAAA
This is a non-coding RNA of Camellia sinensis, 289 nucleotides long. The record is from RefSeq and is a predicted model, not a curated record. NCBI's taxonomy places the organism in Eukaryota, Viridiplantae, Streptophyta, Magnoliopsida, Ericales, Theaceae.